UGGAUGCAGUGCAACAACUAUAUAGCGAGGCCUUUGGGUAGCUACAAAUGAAUUGUGCAAUUAAAUGGCAUAUGAAGUGAAGCUGACUUGGAUGCUGAAAAGAUCGCUUUUAUACUGAGAUAGCAAUGAUGAAGGCCUUAUGGGGCAUGAAAGGCAAGCUAGCUGGUACAGGAACGCAGUUGAGUUACAUGCUUUUGCUUCAAGCUUUACUCUUCAAGCUUCCGAGGUUGAAUUUGAGUUACAAGGAGGGUGAAAGAUGGAUUGUGGCAUUGUGCAUGUCAUCCGUAGAUCAAAGCUUGAUGCAAAACUAAGGCAGCUUUUAAAGAUUUGGUUUGGCAGAUGGGUUGCAUUAUUAUGAUGAGUGAGAAAAUUCUACUUGAGCUCAUUAUAAUCAAUCAUUUCACAAUCAGUGUGUAUGUAUAAUUAAAUAUCAGAAUCAGCAACAACAAAAAAAUGCUCAGGCAUUGUUGUUUUUGGGAGCUUUGAUGAUAAUAGAGCCCCGUUUAAAUGACAAAAGCCAAUUCUGUGACUCUUGUUUCUGCAGCCUAUGUAUAUAAGCUUAUUCUCCGGACCAUGACAAUACAUAACUAUGGUUCACUAAA
Molecule: long non-coding RNA, 602 nt
Organism: Neltuma alba
Lineage: Eukaryota; Viridiplantae; Streptophyta; Magnoliopsida; Fabales; Fabaceae
Exons: 2
Source: RefSeq, a predicted model, not a curated record